This 533-nucleotide ribosomal RNA is filed under the name Enterobacter sp. enrichment culture clone ESN386_EN12. Its description in RNAcentral is "bacterial SSU rRNA". It matches the Rfam family "Bacterial small subunit ribosomal RNA", at positions 75 to 606 of the family's 1533-position model. Lineage: Bacteria; Pseudomonadati; Pseudomonadota; Gammaproteobacteria; Enterobacterales; Enterobacteriaceae. The record is from RNAcentral.
CUUGCUCCUGGGUGACGAGCGGCGGACGGGUGAGUAAUGUCUGGGAAACUGCCUGAUGGAGGGGGAUAACUACUGGAAACGGUAGCUAAUACCGCAUAACGUCGCAAGACCAAAGAGGGGGACCUUCGGGCCUCUUGCCAUCAGAUGUGCCCAGAUGGGAUUAGCUAGUAGGUGGGGUAAUGGCUCACCUAGGCGACGAUCCCUAGCUGGUCUGAGAGGAUGACCAGCCACACUGGAACUGAGACACGGUCCAGACUCCUACGGGAGGCAGCAGUGGGGAAUAUUGCACAAUGGGCGCAAGCCUGAUGCAGCCAUGCCGCGUGUAUGAAGAAGGCCUUCGGGUUGUAAAGUACUUUCAGCGAGGAGGAAGGCAUUGUGGUUAAUAACCACAGUGAUUGACGUUACUCGCAGAAGAAGCACCGGCUAACUCCGUGCCAGCAGCCGCGGUAAUACGGAGGGUGCAAGCGUUAAUCGGAAUUACUGGGCGUAAAGCGCACGCAGGCGGUCUGUCAAGUCGGAUGUGAAAUCUCCGG